GUGGAGUUUAUUAUCAAAGGGGUAGAUUGCUUGACCUCUAGCAAACAAGAACUGGGGAGGUGAGGAACCUUUAAAGAGAGAGGGCUCUCUAGGGUGGCAGGGGAGGCAGGACAGGGCUGGAAUUUACUGGAGAGAGAAAGGCAGAGUUGUUUAUAGUUCAACUGUUUAGAAUUUAGGUCUCUUGGGUUUUUUGUUGGGUUAAAUAAGGUGUAUUCAGUAUUUUAUGGCUUGUUAGCCUGAGUGCCUACCUGGGAACUGAGGAUCCUCUUUUCUUUUAACUGGGGGAAUAAACAGGAGCUACAUUUUUCUGGUGUUGCUGGGGACAAGCCAGGAGCCAAAGGGAGAUUUGUGUGAAAAGCCCCGAAGACUGAUUUGGGGACAUUUACAUAGCUGGACAGCAAUUCUACUGGAUUAUACAGGGAAACACUGUGAGCGGCUCAAAGGGAAUAUGAUCUGUGAAUUGCUAAAGGUGGAUAUUUGUUUCUGGAAAAAAGUUGAGGCAAUGACCUUGGCAUAACCAAAGGUAGGAUCCUCUUAACUCAGUUUCCCUAUUAUAUAAUUUCCUUUUUGAACAGGACCGCUUCCCUCUUGUUUAAUACUGAACCUGGUUAUUAUACCCUGUGAAUAAUGUGGAACUUUUCUAUAUGAUUGGUUGUUCUAAAUAGUAACUAUGACUCUUACCUUGAAUCAAACAGAACUAAGAAUGCUUUAGUCUAUUAUAUCUAUACUGAGACUUUUUUGUGCCCUGAGGCUUAGGCCUGGAGAAUCAGUCUUGCUGCUGUUAUUAACCAUGUCUCCACUUCUUCCUUUCAGAGAAAAAUCUCUCUAACCAUGGCAGGUAAAGUAAUUAAAAAAAAACUAUAAUGGACCUUAUUACUAUAAUAUUCUAGCACCUCUAUACUACUAUAAAAGUAGUAU
Molecule: long non-coding RNA, 918 nt
Filed under: Monodelphis domestica (gray short-tailed opossum)
Lineage: Eukaryota; Metazoa; Chordata; Mammalia; Didelphimorphia; Didelphidae
Description: lncRNA (ENSMODG00000046475.1)
Source: RNAcentral